Molecule: ribosomal RNA, 119 nt
Filed under: Pteropus alecto (black flying fox)
Lineage: Eukaryota; Metazoa; Chordata; Mammalia; Chiroptera; Pteropodidae
Source: RNAcentral
GUCUAUGGCCUUGCCACCUGGAACAAGCCUGAUCCCAUCUGAUCUCGGAAGCUAAGCAGGGUCGGGCCUGGUUAGUACUUGGAUGGGAGACCACCUAGGAAGACCAGGUGCUGUAGGCA